CUCUCCUCACCACCCCCCCCCCCCCCCCCCCUUCCGUGGACUGGCAGAGCCAGGGGACCCGGGAAGCACCCGUCAGCCAGACAGGCCAGGGCCAGACCCGGGGAGUCCUGGCUGGGGACCCACCUGGCCCCGUGUUCUGCCUGGGCCAUCUCAGGGUCAGAUGCCUCGGCCUCUCUGUGACGCCCCAAGCCCCCGCUCUGUUCUUCUCCUUCAAGGUUGCAGCAUUGGUAAGAAAGGAGGAGACGGUGAACCCAGGUCACGUUGGGCCAGCAGAUGAAACUUAACUGUGAGGCAGGGGUCCAGCGAGGCCCUGGGGUCAGAGUUAAGACCACAGCUUGGCCAGCUGCUGGCCGCGUGACCUGGUCAAGUCCCUCAGGGCCUUGGUGGACAGAGAUACGGAAUGGGUCGGCUGGAAACACCUCCCGCCUGACACGUGGUUGUGAGCCACGGGUGGUGCUCCGUGUGGAUUUCUGAGAGGGGGCCCGGCACAGUAAGUGCCAGCUGCCACCAUGGCCACCAUUUGCCAAUACUGCCUCCAGCCAGGUACAUCGGCAGGUGUUGGGUGACUGGGGCAAGGUCUCUGCCCCAUGGAUCUCACAAUCUAAUGGGGAAGAAAAAUAAAUGUGACAAAGAAAUGUAUUUCAAGUGCUG
RNAcentral lists this long non-coding RNA (651 nucleotides) under Marmota monax (woodchuck). The record is from RNAcentral. Lineage: Eukaryota; Metazoa; Chordata; Mammalia; Rodentia; Sciuridae.